UACGGAGGGAGCUAGCGUUGUUCGGAAUUACUGGGCGUAAAGCGCGCGUAGGCGGCUUUGUAAGUUAGAGGUGAAAGCCCGGAGCUCAACUCCGGAACUGCCUUUAAGACUGCAUCGCUUGAAUCCAGGAGAGGUGAGUGGAAUUCCGAGUGUAGAGGUGAAAUUCGUAGAUAUUCGGAAGAACACCAGUGGCGAAGGCGGCUCACUGGACUGGUAUUGACGCUGAGGUGCGAAAGCGUGGGGAGCAAACCGG
Molecule: ribosomal RNA, 253 nt
Filed under: uncultured bacterium
Lineage: Bacteria
Description: partial 16S ribosomal RNA
Rfam family: Bacterial small subunit ribosomal RNA
Source: RNAcentral